This is a non-coding RNA of Schistosoma mansoni, 45 nucleotides long. The record is from Rfam. Lineage: Eukaryota; Metazoa; Platyhelminthes; Trematoda; Strigeidida; Schistosomatidae.
AUCCAGAUGACGAGUCCCAAAGAGGACGAAACGCGCGUCCUGGAU